UCCGGUUUGUCACCGGCAGUCUUGCAUGAGUCCCCGGCCGAACCGCUGGCAACAUGCAACGGGGGUUGCGCUCGUUGCGGGACUUAACCCAACAUCUCACGACACGAGCUGACGACAGCCAUGCACCACCUGUGCAGGGCCCUUACGGACACCGUAUCUCUACGGCUUUUCCCCGCAUGUCAAACCCAGGUAAGGUUCUUCGCGUUGCCUCGAAUUAAGCAACAUGCUCCGCCGCUUGUGCGGGUCCCCGUCAAUUCCUUUGAGUUUUAGCCUUGCGGCCGUACUCCCCAGGCGGGGCACUUAAUGCGUUAGCUCCGGCACGGGAGGAGUCGACACCUCCCACACCUAGUGCCCAUCGUUUACGGCGUGGACUAC
This 375-nucleotide unclassified non-coding RNA is filed under the name uncultured Actinomycetes bacterium. Its description in RNAcentral is "uncultured actinobacterium contains 16S-23S intergenic spacer region". Lineage: Bacteria; Bacillati; Actinomycetota; Actinomycetes. The record is from RNAcentral.